This 434-nucleotide ribosomal RNA is filed under the name uncultured bacterium. RNAcentral's name for it is "partial 16S ribosomal RNA". It matches the Rfam family "Bacterial small subunit ribosomal RNA", at positions 29 to 507 of the family's 1533-position model. The record is from RNAcentral.
AGCGAACGCUGGCGGCAGGCCUAACACAUGCAAGUCGAACGAACCUUUCGGGGUUAGUGGCGGACGGGUGAGUAACACGUGGGAACGUGCCUUUAGGUUCGGAAUAACUCAGGGAAACUUGUGCUAAUACCGAAUGUGCCCUUCGGGGGAAAGAUUAAUCGCCUUUAGAGCGGCCCGCGUCUGUUUAGCUAGUUGGUUGGGGUAAUGGCUCACCAAGGCGACGAUCAGUAGCUGGUCGGAGAAGAUGAUCAGCCACAUUGGGACUGAGACACGGCCCAAACUCCUACGGGAAGCAGCAGUGGGGAAUCUUGCGCAAUGGGCGAAAGCCUGACGCAGCCAUGCCGCGUGAAUGAUGAAGGUCUUAGGAUUGUAAAAUUCUUUCACCGGGGACGAUAAUGACGGUACCCGGAGAAGAAGCCCCGGCUAACUUCGUG